UGUUGGUUCUCCCGCAACGCUACUCUGUUUACCAGGUCAGGUCCGGAAGGAAGCAGCCAGAGCAGAGGACGUGUGUGCCGGGAUGUAGCUGGCAGGG
Molecule: signal recognition particle RNA, 97 nt
Filed under: Klebsiella pneumoniae
Lineage: Bacteria; Pseudomonadati; Pseudomonadota; Gammaproteobacteria; Enterobacterales; Enterobacteriaceae
Description: signal recognition particle sRNA small type
Rfam family: Bacterial small signal recognition particle RNA
About the family: The signal recognition particle (SRP) is a universally conserved ribonucleoprotein involved in the co-translational targeting of proteins to membranes. Archaeal SRP consists of a 7S RNA and homologues of the eukaryotic SRP19 and SRP54 proteins.
Source: RNAcentral